UAGGGAAUCUUCCGCAAUGGACGCAAGUCUGACGGAGCAACGCCGCGCGAGUGAAGAAGGAUUUCGGUUCGUAAAACUCUGUUGUUAGAGAAGAACAGCGCAUAGAGUAACUGUUAUGCGUGUGACGGUAUCUAACCAGAAAGCCACGGCUAACUACGUGCCAGCAGCCGCGGUAAUACGUAGGUGGCAAGCGUUGUCCGGAUUUAUUGGGCGUAAAGCGAGCGCAGGCGGUCAAUUAAGUCUGAUGUGAAAGCGCCCGGCUCAACCGGGGAGGGUCAUUGGAAACUGGUUGAAUUGAGUGCAGAAGGGGAGAGUGGAAUUCCAUGGGUAGCGGUGAAAUGCGUAGAUAUAUGGAGAACCACCAGUGGCGAAGGCGACUCUCUGGUCUGUAACUGACGCUGAGGCUCGAAAGCGUGGGUAGCAAACAGG
This 429-nucleotide ribosomal RNA is filed under the name Bacteroidota bacterium. RNAcentral describes it as "Bacteroidetes bacterium partial 16S ribosomal RNA". It matches the Rfam family "Bacterial small subunit ribosomal RNA", at positions 355 to 776 of the family's 1533-position model. Lineage: Bacteria; Pseudomonadati; Bacteroidota. The record is from RNAcentral.